CUUCUCCCAUGUCUUUUUCUCCUACAUGAAACUGAAAGCUUGAGUCCUCCUUCCUGUCUUCGCUUCUAGGGCCAUUAAACAAGCAGAUGGAUCUCUUAAGGAACCUACCAGACGAGCUUCUUUGUCAUAUCUUCUCCAAUCUGAAAGCUUGAGUCUUUUCUUCCUAUCUUCGUUAGAGCAGAUGGAUCGCUUUAGAAAUCUACCAGAAGAGGUUAUUUUUCAUAUAUUGUCUUUCCUUACCACAAAGGAGGCAGCUUUGACUUCGGUUUUGUCCAAGAGGUGGCGAUAUCUGUUUGCAUUUGUCCCUAAUCUUCACAUUGAUGACUCUAUCUUUCUGAAUCAGGAAGAGCAGAGGGACGACGUUGAAGAUCUCUUCAUAGAGUUUGUGGAGAGAGUAUUAGCAUUGCAGGGUAACUCUCCCAUUAAUAAAUGCUCCAUCAGUUGUAUCUGUGUUGGUUCAGUUAGAGUUGAUGCUUGGAUACGUAAUGUGUUGGAGCCUGGUGUAGAAGAGCUUGGUCUAUUAAUCGUUCUGGAUCUUCAAACGGUUGGUAAGAAAAAGGGUUGGUCUCCAACAUGUUUUGAGGGCAAGAAAUUUGUUAAGCUGGAGAUAAGUUAUGCACUUGAUAUCGAUUGGUUUGAUGGACGCAUUUUCUUACCGAUGCUUAGAACUCUCAUUCUUAAAUUUGUUGACUUAUCUAUUGAUAAGUUUGGGAGUCUACUUCAUGGUUUCCCUGCGCUUGAGGAAUUAGUCAUGGGUCAUAUAACCUGGAGUUCAAGGGAUGCAGCUGUGUCAGAUGCAAGCCUCAAGAGACUAACAAUAACUUCCAACCAUAUUGCCUAUCACUAUUUUUAUUUAGGCACUUUUUCGGUUGAUACACCUAGUCUUGUUCGCUUUUGUUACUCUGAUUAUGAUGCUAUAGACUACCCCGUAGUUAAGAUGAAAAGCUUGGUGAGGCUAGGAUUAGCCUUUUGGUAACUGAAGAUCAUAUCAAGCGAGCAAGAGCGCCAAACGAUGUUUGGUUAGGGGUUGAUGAUGGUGAUGUUCUUCUCCGGUUUGGUAAUGUGGGCAAGCUUAUGAAUGGCAUACGAAAUGUUCAGUAUCUGGACUUGUCUGCUAAUACUCUCGAGGCAAAAUGUCUUGCUUUGAGUUGUUGUUCUUCGCCUUUACUCCAAACAUCUCACUAUUAAUGUCACGGCAGAAACCGAUGUUUGAAAUUGUUCCUUUGCAUAGUGCGUAGUCUAAUGUCCUAGCGUUAUAUCAGCGGAUACAGUAACAGUGUCUUCUUUCUAUUUUCAUAAAUGUGUGUGUGUGUGUGUGUGUGUGUGCGUGUGCGUGUCUUUGAAUUCAUCUAGCUACCAUCUGUCACGAUACUAACAACGUCGUAGUGUUACGAAUGUGCUUGUCCUUGAAUUCAUCAGUUUUUAAU
Camelina sativa (false flax) is the source of this 1427-nucleotide non-coding RNA. Lineage: Eukaryota; Viridiplantae; Streptophyta; Magnoliopsida; Brassicales; Brassicaceae. The record is from RefSeq and is a predicted model, not a curated record.